AGUGAACGCUGGCGGUAGGCCUAACACAUGCAAGUCGAACGGCAGCACAGGAGAGCUUGCUCUCUGGGUGGCGAGUGGCGGACGGGUGAGGAAUACAUCGGAAUCUACUUUUUCGUGGGGGAUAACGUAGGGAAACUUACGCUAAUACCGCAUACGACCUACGGGUGAAAGCGGGGGACCUUCGGGCCUUGCGCGAUUGAAUGAGCCGAUGUCGGAUUAGCUAGUUGGCGGGGUAAAGGCCAACCAAGGCGACGAUCCGUAGCUGGUCUGAGAGGAUGAUCAGCCACACUGGAGCUGAGACACGGUCCAGACUCCUACGGGAGGCAGCAGUGGGGAAUAUUGGACAAUGGGCGCAAGCCUGAUCCAGCCAUACCGCGUGGGUGAAGAAGGCCUUCGGGUUGUAAAGCCCUUUUGUUGGGAAAGAAAUCCAGCUGGCUAAUACCCGGUUGGGAUGACGGUACUCAAAGAAUAAGCACCGGCUAACUUCGUGCCAGCAGCCGCCGUAA
This 506-nucleotide ribosomal RNA is filed under the name uncultured bacterium. RNAcentral's name for it is "partial 16S ribosomal RNA". It matches the Rfam family "Bacterial small subunit ribosomal RNA", at positions 29 to 523 of the family's 1533-position model. The record is from RNAcentral.